CAAUAGCGUAUAUUAAAGUUGUUGCAGUUAAAAAGCUCGUAGUUGGACCUUGGACCUGGACAGGCGGUCCGCCUCACGGCGUGUACUGUCUUGCUGGGUCUUUCCUCUUGGUGAUCUGUUGUUUCGGCAGCAGGGAACCAGGACUUUUACUCUGAAAAAAUUAGGGUGUUCAAAGCAGGCUCGACGCCGGAAUAUAUUGGCAUGGAAUAAUAAAAUAGGACGUGCGGUUCUAUUUUGUUGGUUUUUGGAAUCGCCGUAAUGAUUAAUAGGGACAGUCGGGGGCAUUAGUACUCACAUGCUAGAGGUGAAAUUCUUGGAUUUUGUGAAGACUAACUUCUGCGAAAGCAUUUGCCAAGGAUGUUUUCAUUAA
Molecule: ribosomal RNA, 370 nt
Filed under: uncultured eukaryote
Lineage: Eukaryota
Description: partial 18S ribosomal RNA
Rfam family: Eukaryotic small subunit ribosomal RNA
Source: RNAcentral